This 460-nucleotide ribosomal RNA is filed under the name uncultured bacterium. RNAcentral's name for it is "partial 16S ribosomal RNA". It matches the Rfam family "Bacterial small subunit ribosomal RNA", at positions 338 to 795 of the family's 1533-position model. The record is from RNAcentral.
CCUACGGGAGGCAGCAGUGCGGAAUAUUGGUCAAUGGACGCAAGUCUGAACCAGCCAUGCCGCGUGCAGGAAGACGGCUCUAUGAGUUGUAAACUGCUUUUGUACGAGGGUAAACGCAGAUACGCGUAUCUGUCUGAAAGUAUCGUACGAAUAAGGAUCGGCUAACUCCGUGCCAGCAGCCGCGGUAAUACGGAGGAUUCAAGCGUUAUCCGGAUUUAUUGGGUUUAAAGGGUGCGUAGGCGGUCGGAUAAGUUAGAGGUGAAAUCCCGAGGCUCAACUUCGGAAGUGCCGCUGAUACGGUGCGGCUAGAGAGUAGUUGCGGUAGGCGGAAUGUAUGGUGUAGCGGUGAAAUGCUUAGAGAUCAUACAGAACACCGAUUGCGAAGGCAGCUUACCAAGCUACUUCUGACGUUGAGGCACGAAAGCGUGGGGAGCAAACAGGAUUAGAUACCCCGGUAGUC